This 459-nucleotide ribosomal RNA is filed under the name uncultured bacterium. Its description in RNAcentral is "bacterial SSU rRNA". It matches the Rfam family "Bacterial small subunit ribosomal RNA", at positions 343 to 793 of the family's 1533-position model. The record is from RNAcentral.
CGGAGGCAGCAGUGGGGAAUAUUGGACAAUGGGCGCAAGCCUGAUCCAGCGACGCCGCGUGAGUGAUGAAGGCCUUCGGGUUGUAAAGCUCUGUUGAGGGAGAAGAAAACAGGCCGUUCGAAUAGGUCGGUCUCUUGACGGUAUCCCUUUAGAAAGCACCGGCCAACUCUGUGCCAGCAGCCGCGGUAAGACAGAGGGUGCAAACGUUGCUCGGAAUUACUGGGCGUAAAGCGCGUGUAGGCCGGUUGGUAAGUCAGAUGUGAAAUCCCUGGGCUCAACCCAGGAACUGCAUUUGAAACUGCCAGCCUAGAGUGGUGGAGAGGGAGGCGGAAUUCCUGGUGUAGAGGUGAAAUUCGUAGAUAUCAGGAGGAACAUCGGUGGCGAAGGCGGCCUCCUGGACACUUACUGACGCUGAGACGCGAAAGCGUGGGGAGCAAACAGGAUUAGAUACCCGUGUAC